This 253-nucleotide ribosomal RNA is filed under the name uncultured bacterium. RNAcentral's name for it is "partial 16S ribosomal RNA". It matches the Rfam family "Bacterial small subunit ribosomal RNA", at positions 524 to 776 of the family's 1533-position model. The record is from RNAcentral.
UACGUAGGGUGCGAGCGUUAAUCGGAAUUACUGGGCGUAAAGCGUGCGCAGGCGGUUUUGUAAGCCAGAUGUGAAAUCCCCGGGCUUAACCUGGGAAUGGCAUUUGGGACUGCAAGGCUCGAGUGCGGCAGAGGGGACUGGAAUUCCCGGUGUAGCAGUGAAAUGCGCAGAUAUCAGGAGGAACACCAAUUGCGAAGGCAGCUCGCUGGGACGUUACUGACGCUGAGACGCGAAAGCGUGGGGAGCAAACAGG